This 71-nucleotide transfer RNA is filed under the name Ictidomys tridecemlineatus (thirteen-lined ground squirrel). RNAcentral describes it as "Spermophilus tridecemlineatus (thirteen-lined ground squirrel) tRNA". It matches the Rfam family "tRNA". Rfam says of the family: Transfer RNA (tRNA) molecules are approximately 80 nucleotides in length. Their secondary structure includes four short double-helical elements and three loops (D, anti-codon, and T loops). Lineage: Eukaryota; Metazoa; Chordata; Mammalia; Rodentia; Sciuridae. The record is from Rfam by way of RNAcentral.
GCAGUCGUAGCUCAGUGGUAGAGCACUUGCCUAGCAUGUGUGAGGCACUGGGUUUGAUUCUCAGCACCGCA